GAGUUUGAUCCUGGCUCAGAUUGAACGCUGGCGGCGUGCUUAACACAUGCAAGUCGAGCGGUAACAGGCGUAGCAAUACGUGCUGACGAGCGGCGAACGGGUGAGUAAUGCUUCGGAAUCUUCCUCGUAGUGGGGAAUAACCUGGGGAAACUCAGGCUAAUACCGCAUGUGGCCCACGGGCUAAAGCUCCGGCGCUUUGGGAACGGCCUGCGUAUGAUUAGAUAGUUGGUGAGGUAAUGGCUCACCAAGUCGACGAUCAUUAGCUGGUCUGAGAGGAUGACCAGCCAGACUGGGACUGAGAACGGCCCAGACUCCUACGGGAGGCAGCAGUAGGGAAUUUUCCACAAUGGGCGAAAGCCUGAUGGAGCAACGCCGCGUGCAGGAUGAAUGCCUUCGGGUUGUAAACUGCUUUUAUCUGUGACGAAUAUGACGGUAGCAGAUGAAUAAGGAUCGGCUAACUCCGUGCCAGCAGCCGCAGU
This 479-nucleotide ribosomal RNA is filed under the name uncultured bacterium. RNAcentral's name for it is "bacterial SSU rRNA". It matches the Rfam family "Bacterial small subunit ribosomal RNA", at positions 9 to 521 of the family's 1533-position model. The record is from RNAcentral.